RNAcentral lists this ribosomal RNA (202 nucleotides) under Beauveria brongniartii. The record is from RNAcentral. Lineage: Eukaryota; Fungi; Ascomycota; Sordariomycetes; Hypocreales; Cordycipitaceae.
AUUUUCAACCCUCGACCUCCCUUUGGGGAAGUCGGCGUUGGGGACCGGCAGCACACCGCCGGCCCUGAAAUGGAGUGGCGGCCCGUCCGCGGCGACCUCUGCGUAGUAAACAACUCGCACCGGAACCCCGACGCGGCCACGCCGUAAAACACCCAACUUCUGAACGUUGACCUCGAAUCAGGUAGGACUACCGUGAACUUAA